UUAAAGCUGACUAUGUGGUAUGGGUUUUGUUCAUUGUUGAAGGCUGUAAGGGUGAUCUAAAGUUGUUAAUUUCUGUGUCAUCUGGUCUCUUGAGGCCAGUUGUCUCAUUUGGAAAUCAUCUACCACAUCUUCUUUUUUUUAUUCUUAGAAUGUUAGUUUUAAUAUGAAAAAUAUAUGUUUCAAACUUUUCAAAUUUAGAAAUUAUAGACAGUUAUUGUCAAAAUUUUUAGUAUGUGUGCUUUUUCAAAAACAAAAAACAUUGAAAUUGGAAAAAAUCAUAAUAUACAUGAAGGCCUGAGGGUCCAUUAUUUCUGUUUUCAUUCAAUAUAUUUGUUGGUCCUGUUUUGCUGUGGUAUUGGUCCAUUAUGCUAUAUUCUUUAACCCCAUUCAGACCCUCAUUUCGCUUAAUGAAAGGCUAUGUCUGAUUAUUGCAAGAUGUCAAAACUUCAUAAAAAAUUAACACCAUUUUACUUUCUGUUUAAAUUCAUAUACUGAU
Molecule: long non-coding RNA, 496 nt
Filed under: Mytilus galloprovincialis (Mediterranean mussel)
Lineage: Eukaryota; Metazoa; Mollusca; Bivalvia; Mytilida; Mytilidae
Source: RNAcentral